CGGCGAGUGAAGCGGCAACAGCUCAAAUUUGAAAUCUGGCUUCGGCCCGAGUUGUAAUUUGCAGAGGAUGCUUCUGGCGCGGUGCCUUCCGAGUUCCCUGGAACGGGACGCCACAGAGGGUGAGAGCCCCGUAUGGUCGGACACCAAGCCUGUGUGAAGCUCCUUCGACGAGUCGAGUAGUUUGGGAAUGCUGCUCUAAAUGGGAGGUAAAUCUCUUCUAAAGCUAAAUACCGGCCAGAGACCGAUAGCGCACAAGUAGAGUGAUCGAAAGAUGAAAAGCACCUUGAAAAGGGGGUUAAAUAGUACGUGAAAUUGUUGAAAGGGAAGCACUUAUGACCAGACUUGGGCCGGGCGGCUCAUCAGGGGUUCUCCCCUGUGCACUCCGCCCGGCACAGGCCAGCAUCGGUUCUCGUGGGGGGAUAAGACCGUCAGGAACGUAGCACCCUCCGGGGUGUGUUAUAGCCUGGCGGACGAUACCCCCGUGGGGACCGAGGUCCGCGCAAGGAUGCUGGCGUAAUGGUCAUCAGUGACCCGUCUUGAAACACGGACCAAGGAGUCGUCCAUUAGAGCGAGCGUUUGGGUGUAAAACCCGCACGCGUAAUGAAAGUGAACGCAGGUGAGAGCUUCGGCGCAUCAUCGACCGAUCCUGAUGUUCUCGGAAGGAUUUGAGUAAGAGUUUUAACGGACGGACCCGAAAGACAGUGAACUAUGCUUGUAUAGGGUGAAGCCAGAGGAAACUCUGGUGGAGGCUCGCAGCGGUUCUGACGUGCAAAUCGAUCGUCAAAUAUGAGCAUGGGGGCGAAAG
RNAcentral lists this ribosomal RNA (805 nucleotides) under fungal sp. BG3. RNAcentral describes it as "eukaryotic LSU rRNA". It matches the Rfam family "Eukaryotic large subunit ribosomal RNA", at positions 87 to 929 of the family's 3401-position model. The record is from RNAcentral. Lineage: Eukaryota; Fungi.